This 465-nucleotide ribosomal RNA is filed under the name Triticum aestivum (bread wheat). Its description in RNAcentral is "partial small subunit ribosomal RNA". The record is from RNAcentral. Lineage: Eukaryota; Viridiplantae; Streptophyta; Magnoliopsida; Poales; Poaceae.
AUGACUCUUCCAGUGCGGUUGCCUCUAGCUAUGCGCUCGCGACCGAACAUCUAUUUCUACCUCCAGCAGUUCAUUGGGCCGCCUGUUGCUGAUCCUAGCCCACGCGUGCACUUGCCUAAAAUCUCUCCUCUAUACACUCCCUUACGAUUACCCAUCUCUCCCCUAUCGCUGUCACCCUCCGAUCCUCUGCAUCUUCUUCAAAGACAGGCGAGAAACACUGGGGACAUGAGACAAAACACACAAAGGACGAGAAAAAGAAGCUCUGGUCGAGCACAUUCAGGCAAAUGCAGAUUCUGGCGGCAGCAGAGAAAAUUUAAAAAAAAUGAAAAGGCUCUGCUGGAGCAAAACAUAGUUCCCAGAUUAGUGUUAUCUAAUUGCCACAUUAUUUGUUAUCAAGUUGUCAUAUUAGUUGUCAGAUUAGUUCCCAAUCUUUCCGUCCCAGCUCCCGCCCUGUUCCCAGAUUAG